RNAcentral lists this long non-coding RNA (651 nucleotides) under Androctonus crassicauda. Lineage: Eukaryota; Metazoa; Arthropoda; Arachnida; Scorpiones; Buthidae. The record is from RNAcentral.
AGGAAACUCUGAAAUUUUAGAGUUAUUAAUUUUUAAUUGUUAUUUGUAUCAGAAUUAUAAAAAAAUACAUUGUUAGAUGAUGAUAAAUAUACUCAUUAAGUCAUCCAGUUCUGUAUUGUACAGUUUCAGAUUUACAGAAUUUUUCAAAAACAUUAAAAUAAUCAAUUAUUUAAUUUUGAAUUUUGCCAAAAGUAAUUUUUAGCAACAUUAAUAGUAUUGAAGACUUUAAUAUUGAGUUAUGAGUUAGAAAGGGGGACAGAAAAUAACUCUAGUAUUACAACCAUCUAAUUAUCUAUUGUGCACUCCCUAACAAAAUCAUCCCAUAAGUCCUAUCUUAUACACAAAAGACAGGAUCUUUUCGAAUGAAAUCAUAAGAUCUUCUAAUACAAGAAAAUGUAAUCCUAAAGAAUCAAAUCUUAGUUGUUAAAGAGCCAUACAUUCAUGCAGUAUGUGGAGAGAAGUUUCAUUUUCUCCCUGAUAUCAUCUACAGUUAGGAUUAUCGACAAUCCCAAUAAAGUGGACAUAUUUUCUAAGAUGACAAUUCCCUAUAAGGAACAUUGUAACAAUGCUUACUUGAAUUUUAUUCAGUAUAAGCAAUCCUCAGUGGAGAAGGAUUUUAAAAUAAGAAUUUUUAAUCUUACUACUAAUAGC